GUAGUUGUAGCCAAGUGGUUAAGGUGCUGGACUAGAAAUCAAUUGGGGUCCUCCUGCACAGGUUUGAAUCCUGUCAACUACA
Molecule: non-coding RNA, 82 nt
Organism: Gopherus evgoodei (Goodes thornscrub tortoise)
Lineage: Eukaryota; Metazoa; Chordata; Testudines; Testudinidae
Source: the annotation of a RefSeq genome assembly